RNAcentral lists this ribosomal RNA (1370 nucleotides) under Citrobacter sp. YNUTCM YJ233. RNAcentral describes it as "partial 16S ribosomal RNA". It matches the Rfam family "Bacterial small subunit ribosomal RNA". Lineage: Bacteria; Pseudomonadati; Pseudomonadota; Gammaproteobacteria; Enterobacterales; Enterobacteriaceae. The record is from RNAcentral.
GACGAGUGGCGGACGGGUGAUUAAUGUCUGGGAAACUGCCUGAUGGAGGGGGAUAACUACUGGAAACGGUAGCUAAUACCGCAUAACGUCGCAAGACCAAAGAGGGGGACCUUCGGGCCUCUUGCCAUCAGAUGUGCCCAGAUGGGAUUAGCUAGUAGGUGGGGUAAUGGCUCACCUAGGCGACGAUCCCUAGCUGGUCUGAGAGGAUGACCAGCCACACUGGAACUGAGACACGGUCCAGACUCCUACGGGAGGCAGCAGUGGGGAAUAUUGCACAAUGGGCGCAAGCCUGAUGCAGCCAUGCCGCGUGUAUGAAGAAGGCCUUCGGGUUGUAAAGUACUUUCAGCGGGGAGGAAGGUGUUGUGGUUAAUAACCACAUCAAUUGACGUUACCCGCAGAAUAAGCACCUGCUAACUCCGUGCCAGCAUCCGCGGUAAUUACGGCAGGGUGCAAGCUGUUAGUCGGAAUUACUGGUGCGUAAAUCUCACGUAGAUGCCGGCUGCUCCCCCAACCCGGAUUUGAAAUCCUUGGGUUUACCCUUGGGAUCUGCAUUUUUGAUUAUUGCUAGGGUCGUGUAGUCUUGUAGAAGGGGGGGGUAGAAUUCAAGGCGUAGCGCUGAAUUGCGUAGAGAUUCUGGAGGAUCACCGGCGUUGAAGGGUGCCCCUGGACAAAGAUUGACGCUCAGGUUAGAAGCGUGGGAGCAAACAGGACUUAGAUACCCUGGUAGUACACGCUGUAAAUGAUGUUGACUUGGAGGUUUGUUCCCUUGAGGAGUGGCUUCCGGAGCUAACGCGUUAAGUCGACCUCCUGGGGAGUACGGCCGCAAGGUUAAAACUCAAAUGAAUUGACGGGGGCCCGCACAAGCGGUGGAGCAUGUGGUUUAAUUCGAUGCAACGCGAAGAACCUUACCUACUCUUGACAUCCAGAGAACUUAGCAGAGAUGCUUUGGUGCCUUCGGGAACUCUGAGACAGGUGCUGCAUGGCUGUCGUCAGCUCGUGUUGUGAAAUGUUGGGUUAAGUCCCGCAACGAGCGCAACCCUUAUCCUUUGUUGCCAGCGGUCCGGCCGGGAACUCAAAGGAGACUGCCAGUGAUAAACUGGAGGAAGGUGGGGAUGACGUCAAGUCAUCAUACCCUUACGAGUAGGCCCACACCCCACUUCAUGCUGCUCCCCAAGGGAAACUUCCUCGCGCGAGCCGCAGCUCGUCCUGCAUCGCGUUCUCACACCGAGGGCAGUAUCCAAUUCGCAUCCGUGAUCUUGGAAUGGCUAUUAAUAGUGGAUCUCACGUCUGCGGGGAAUACGUCCAGUCAGAGUUUGAUCCUCGCUAAGGAAAGGGAUGUUUCGCAUUACCGAGAAAUUUUAUUCGCUAAC